RNAcentral lists this non-coding RNA (148 nucleotides) under Pan troglodytes (chimpanzee). The record is from Rfam by way of RNAcentral. Lineage: Eukaryota; Metazoa; Chordata; Mammalia; Primates; Hominidae.
UCUGGGCAUGGUGGCGCAUGCCUAUAAUCCCAGCUACUUGGGAGGCUGAGGCAGGAGAAUCGCUUGAACCCGGGAGGUGGAGGUUGCAGUGAGCCGAGGUCAUGCCACUGCACUCCCGCCUGGGCAACAGAGCAAGACUCUGCCUCAA